Molecule: ribosomal RNA, 593 nt
Filed under: Salmonella enterica subsp. enterica serovar Braenderup
Lineage: Bacteria; Pseudomonadati; Pseudomonadota; Gammaproteobacteria; Enterobacterales; Enterobacteriaceae
Description: partial 23S ribosomal RNA
Rfam family: Bacterial large subunit ribosomal RNA
Source: RNAcentral
GGUGGGUAGUUUGACUGGGGCGGUCUCCUCCUAAAGAGUAACGGAGGAGCACGAAGGUUGGCUAAUCCUGGUCGGACAUCAGGAGGUUAGUGCAAUGGCAUAAGCCAGCUUGACUGCGAGCGUGACGGCGCGAGCAGGUGCGAAAGCAGGUCAUAGUGAUCCGGUGGUUCUGAAUGGAAGGGCCAUCGCUCAACGGAUAAAAGGUACUCCGGGGAUAACAGGCUGAUACCGCCCAAGAGUUCAUAUCGACGGCGGUGUUUGGCACCUCGAUGUCGGCUCAUCACAUCCUGGGGCUGAAGUAGGUCCCAAGGGUAUGGCUGUUCGCCAUUUAAAGUGGUACGCGAGCUGGGUUUAGAACGUCGUGAGACAGUUCGGUCCCUAUCUGCCGUGGGCGCUGGAGAACUGAGGGGGGCUGCUCCUAGUACGAGAGGACCGGAGUGGACGCAUCACUGGUGUUCGGGUUGUCAUGCCAAUGGCACUGCCCGGUAGCUAAAUGCGGAAGAGAUAAGUGCUGAAAGCAUCUAAGCACGAAACUUGCCCCGAGAUGAGUUCUCCCUGAGACUUUAGGUCUCCUGAAGGAACGUUGAAGACGA